Mirounga angustirostris (Northern elephant seal) is the source of this 1410-nucleotide long non-coding RNA. RefSeq lists it as uncharacterized. Lineage: Eukaryota; Metazoa; Chordata; Mammalia; Carnivora; Phocidae. The record is from RefSeq and is a predicted model, not a curated record. The transcript is spliced from 3 exons.
CCGGAAGUGCGUGUGCAGAGCGGCUUCGGCGCAGGGGGCGGGGAGUGAGGAGAGGCGCGUGGUUCUUCGUGUCUGAGAGCGGGGGGCUCCUCGCUUCGGACUGGUGGUCGACCCCGGCUUGCGGGGUGACGCGGGGGUCUCCGCUGUCACCGGCUCCAGCCUCAGCAGCAGGGCCCCGGACAGGGGAGGCGGAGGGGGCCUGGGCCGAACUCAGGCUCCGACGCCGGGGCGGGGCUGCGGCAGGUGCGGCUGCUGCCCGACGAGCCUGGGCGGCCGGGCGGCCGGGGCCGGCGCGAGGGUCUGGGGAGCGCGUAGAUGGCGGAUGAGACUCCUCUGCCCGGAGCACGUUGUGUGACUCUUUCCCCAGGGUUUCCUCAGGAAUCGAGAACUGUCCAGCCCUCGGCGAUUAGAAGCGGGCAGGCAGCGGUUGGCCAUUUCCUCCCGGUCGGUGAGAGCGCUCAGAGCGCGCUCAGUUUGGGGGGUCCAGGUGAGAAUCUACAUAGAAUGGUGGAAUCGGCCUUGAUAGGACCAGAAGACCAGUCACUGCACCAGCCUGGCGCUGACAUUCUCUGGAACCUACGACCAGAAGGCCUGAGGCUUGGAGGCCAAAGAGCAAGACCAGCAUUUCAUCUUGGUCAGCUGCAGGGUCAACUGGAUGGCAGGGAUAAUGCGAUGUUUCCAAUCUGGGCGUACAGAGAAGGCCAACAGGGCACCUGGCUUAGGGUCGUCCAUCACCCUAAUUAGAAGGGAAGAAGAAGGGAAGGAAUGUGAAUGAGGCCCAUUCGUCUCCACCCAUGUCAGGCUGUCCUUUGAGCCCCACACAUUCCAAGUGACAAUGGACACUUCUCUGUUACGGAAGACAAUCCCAGGCGCCACUAGGUCCAAAGGUAACAAAAGACAGGGUAUUUCCAGCUGCUGUUCCAGAAAUGGCAUUUAACCUAAGGAGAGCCCUGGCCCCAGCCAGAGCAGGUCAUCUUUGCUAAGUCAAGGUUAUACUUGUGCAGCCUCGGGAGCCUGACUGUUCUAACGUGUGUGCAGGCACGCGUGGGGCGGCGCGUCUAGAUGCCGCGGUCCCUGCUUCCUGCCAUCAUCAUUGCCUUUGUCAUAGCACGCAGGGAACACAGGCUUUGACGGGCAAGGUAAUCCCAGGCGGUUUAGAACAGGGAAGAAAUAACUAGUACCUUCCAGUAACCAUCCCAUCCCCUUCAAUAAGAGGAAGGCAGCCCUGGUAGUGCCGUCUUCCCCCGCGGAGUCUCAAGAGCUAGAUGAACAUGCAGGAAAAUGAGCCUCUGCUUGCAGCGUUGGAGGAAGGAAAAGAGAGUCUAGAAGAUCACUUGGCCACCUCUCCUUGGGGGUUAUGAGUAAAUUGCAGGCUUCUGUCCUACCCUGGAAUAAACAGCUUCCUUUUUU